Molecule: ribosomal RNA, 253 nt
Filed under: uncultured bacterium
Lineage: Bacteria
Description: partial 16S ribosomal RNA
Rfam family: Bacterial small subunit ribosomal RNA
Source: RNAcentral
GACAGAGGGGGCAAGCGUUGUUCGGAAUUACUGGGCGUAAAGGGCUCGUAGGUGGCCAACUAAGUCAGACGUGAAAUCCCUCGGCUUAACCGGGGAACUGCGUCUGAUACUGGAUGGCUUGAGUUCGGGAGAGGGAUGCGGAAUUCCAGGUGUAGCGGUGAAAUGCGUAGAUAUCUGGAGGAACACCGGUGGCGAAGGCGGCAUCCUGGACCGACACUGACACUGAGGAGCGAAAGCCAGGGGAGCAAACGGG